Molecule: non-coding RNA, 405 nt
Organism: Camellia sinensis
Lineage: Eukaryota; Viridiplantae; Streptophyta; Magnoliopsida; Ericales; Theaceae
Source: RefSeq, a predicted model, not a curated record
UUCAAAAUGAUGAGUGUAUAGUGAAAGAUCGGGGAACAUCCAUGGUCAUGCUUAAAAAUGUUUCAGAGGCAAAGUUCAAGCAUAUUCUUCAGCCCAUAUCUGAUGUAUGUAUUACGAAGGAACAACAGAAAUAUGUACACUUUGAUUCUUUCUUCACCCACACAAUUUGCCAUGAGUGUUGCCUUGGGAUUGGGCCUCAUACCAUAACACUUCCAAAUGGUGAAAAAUCUAUAGUUAGAUUGGUCAGUUGUAGUGUCAUCAUUUUCACGCUCUUUCUUUGUAACUUCCUCCUCACUUGUUUGGUUGUUAGCUUCUCAUUUAUUUAUGUUCUGCAACUAGUUUAGAGGGCAUCAUCUCUCUUUGUGAUAUCGAAUUAUUCUUCAAUAUUAAAACGUAUUUUUCCCA